AUGCAUGUCCCUUUGAGAGAGACGGAGAUGGGAUACUCUUUCUUGCGGGUCGACGCCUUCUCCGGCGGCGGGGACGGCUCGAUCAACGAGAACGGGGCUUGACCUUCGUCUUACCUCGUGAAAGCGGCGGUUGCCGACGAUGACGGCGGGCUCGCCCUCAAGAAGCCCGUCAACCCCACCACAUCUCAGGAGAUGAGACCUAUGUCGAUAAAACAAGCGAUCAUUCAAUCUGAGGUACAAUUGGAGUUGGUCAGGCAGGAGAUCCGGAUUUGCUUCCUCGCUGGAUCAUGUCAUCUUCCAUUUAAGGUUACAAAGGAGGGAUUAAGGAGUCAUGGAGCAUACUUAUCAUUCCCCGUUCACCUGGAUGGGACCUUACUUGAUGUUGCCCAAGUUAUGCAAUUAAAGCAGGAACUUUUCUCUUGGUCUCUUGAAGUUCCAGCAGAAUGUUCAUGUUUCUCCUGGUUAUCUUUUCCAUGGUUUGAUACACAACAAAAUGAUGAUGACUCUCAGUUUUUCUCUGGUGGAGAUAAUACAAACUUAGGCCGGCUUCCUUCUUCCCACUAGCAUGCGAAAUGCUCUGCAAUUUUUUGAGGACAAGUUUGCAUCUUUUGGAAAAGAAAAAGACAGAUCACACUGCAAUUACAAAUCAUACGAGGUUCCUUAAUUCUCAAAGAGGUAAAAUCUAAUCAUUUGUACUCACUCAUGCUGUCUGUCUUCAUGAUCAACUAUAAGGAUAAGCCCAACUUUUCAGCAGAAGCUACUUGUUGUAGGAUCUGGAUCUGUUUUGUGACAAAUCAGUUCAAAUAUUGCUGUUUUGUUCUCAUUCACCAAAUAGAUGUUGGAAAAAUCAACUCAUUGUCAGAUCAUCCGAGAUGUUUAAGUUAAUAAUAAUAAUAAUAUGCUUGUCUA
Molecule: long non-coding RNA, 909 nt
Organism: Musa acuminata AAA Group (dessert banana)
Lineage: Eukaryota; Viridiplantae; Streptophyta; Magnoliopsida; Zingiberales; Musaceae
Exons: 5
Source: RefSeq, a predicted model, not a curated record